UCCAUUCGUGAGCACGCGCCCUCCCACACCCUGACGGUCCCGACUUGCUCAUCGGUCGCUGCCGCCCGACCUCCCCACCUCCCCCUGUGCUGCCUCCUCCGCCUUCGCCCCCUGUCUCCGCCUGCUUCGCCGCCGCCCGACGUCCUGCUGGCCCCAUCCCCGCUUCCUCGACCGCCGUCCUUGCCUCGCCUCCCUCAGGAGUCCACACUUGGGUGAAUCUACAUGUAGCGGCCACAGGGGAUGUCAUAUCCGCCCGUCUCUAGCUGCGGAUGAGGGGGCGCUGCCUAGGGUGCCGCCUACCCCCUAGGCGAGGCGGUACCCUGCCGCCCAGCGCAUAAGCGCGUCUAGGCGAGCGCGAAAUAGCGCCUUUUGUAACACUACUAAUGUUCAGCAGCAGGAGGUCGUACAUGGGUGGUGAUCAUGGACCUGACCCGUUUAGUGUUUUCUACAUGCUUGGCGCCGUGUCACUGGGUAUUGCACUCCCGAACAGCAAGAUCUGGAAGCGUAUCAAGGGGGAGUAGGCGUGGGCUGUGCCUAUUCUGUUGAUGAUAAAUAUGGUUGUGUGUGGCAGCGGUCGCUUGCCUUGUCAAGUUAAGCACCGGCUGCUUUAACUUGUUUAUUUUGUAUGUGGCACACUGAAGAGUUGCCGUACUGUAUCAGCCUGAUGAUAAAAAUGGAUGCUUAAGGUAGCGGUCACUAUGCUGCCUAAUGCUCAAAGCCUGUUCUCUUGCCUUGUCAAGAUAA
Setaria italica (foxtail millet) is the source of this 744-nucleotide long non-coding RNA. RefSeq lists it as uncharacterized. The transcript has 2 exons. NCBI's taxonomy places the organism in Eukaryota, Viridiplantae, Streptophyta, Magnoliopsida, Poales, Poaceae. The record is from RefSeq and is a predicted model, not a curated record.